RNAcentral lists this ribosomal RNA (239 nucleotides) under uncultured bacterium. RNAcentral's name for it is "partial 16S ribosomal RNA". It matches the Rfam family "Bacterial small subunit ribosomal RNA", at positions 524 to 762 of the family's 1533-position model. The record is from RNAcentral.
UACGAAGGGUGCAAACGUUGCUCGGAAUUAUUGGGCGUAAAGCGCACGUAGGCGGCUUAGCAAGUCGGAAGUGAAAUCCCUCGGCUCAACCAAGGAAGUGCUUUCGAAACUGCUGAGCUUGAGUACUUAAGAGGAUCGCGGAAUUCCUAGUGUAGGGGUGAAAUCCGUAGAUAUUAGGAGGAACACCAGUGGCGAAGGCGGCCAUCUGGGCCAUUACUGACGCUAAUGCACGAAAGCGU